CUGACUUUGAUGUGCAGACGUGAAACUGUGGGCGCUUUCUUCCUCACUCUGUCACUGCGCUGCUGUCUGACCUUCACACUGAUCCUCUGCAGCUCACCUGCUCUUUGACACCCUCUGACUCUCACAGGAACAAAUGUAAUCGCAUGGCAGGAUGCUGUGAAAGGACCAAACUUCAGCCAGGAGAACAACUGAGAUAAUCCAUCCACAAUACGAGUGACUGACAGCUGAGGGGGCGGAGCCUGCAGCCAUGUUGGUGGUGGUGUGGUUACUGAUGAUGAUGAUGAAGAGUGACGCUGGCGCUGCAGACAUCAUCAGAGUGUCUGCCAACAGCAGCACGAGAGUCAUGCUGGCCUCAGGCCUGCAGGGGGACCCGAGGGCACGCGGGUACGACGUCAGGUGGACUCAGAUCCCUCACCUGCUGCUGAACUGGAACCGGAGCACGUGCUCCCACGGACGCUGCUCGAUGCUCCCUGACGGC
Long non-coding RNA from Astatotilapia calliptera (eastern happy), 478 nucleotides. The record is from Ensembl. Lineage: Eukaryota; Metazoa; Chordata; Actinopteri; Cichliformes; Cichlidae.